This 387-nucleotide unclassified non-coding RNA is filed under the name uncultured Verrucomicrobiae bacterium. RNAcentral's name for it is "contains 16S-23S intergenic spacer region". The record is from RNAcentral. Lineage: Bacteria; Pseudomonadati; Verrucomicrobiota; Verrucomicrobiia.
UCCUCGUUUAAGCGAGGCAGUCUGUCCAGAGUGCUCCAGUCUCUCGACCGGGUGGCAACAGGACACAAGGGUUGCGCUCGUUGCGGGACUUAACCCAACAUCUCACGACACGAGCUGACGACAGCCAUGCAGCACCUGUGUAGGCUCCCCUUGCGGGGUCGUCAGACUUUCAUCCUUCUACCACCUACAUGUCAAGGCCAGGUAAGGUUCUUCGCGUUGCAUCGAAUUGAGCCACAUACUCCACCGCUUGUGCAGGCCCCCGUCAAUUUCUUUGAGUUUUAAUCUUGCGACCGUACUUCCCAGGCGGCACAUUUAACGCGUUAGCUUCGCCACGAACGGGGUCGAAUCCGUUCACAGCAAAUGUGCACCGUUUACAGCUAGGACUAC